AUAAAUUGCUACAGAUGGCCACAGGCACAUCACUAAAGAUUUCCCCCCAUUGACUUUAAUUGUCUUUAAUGUUAAUUCUCGUAUCUUAGACCGACUCUAACUUUUUCCCAUAUUUUUGUUGGGUAGAACGCUUUCUACCACAGAUGGAGCAACAUGUGUCAAUCUCUUGCCCAAAAGCACGUGUAGGUUCUUCAUGAAAAACUUGAGAUACACAAGCUGAAGUAGAGACAACUAAACAUGCAAUUUAAGGCCCUACAUUUCAACCUAACCAACCUCUCAACUCUUGUAUCCUUCCGCAUCAAAAUUAUGAAUAUUCACCAAAACCUGGCAGAAAAUGUAUUUUCAAACCCUUUUCUUCGAUUCAAUACCAAAAAGUCAACAAAAGGGAGAGGAAGACUAAAAAUAGCUUUGGCCCUGGAAUAUUUGGUGGGGAUCUCGUGGCUAAGACGCUUGCUCGCUAGCCUGGAGGUCAGGUGUUCUAUCCCUGCAUUGGCCGAGAAAGUUCAUCCAGAUUUUCCGGCGUGGUUCCCCCUUGUCGGUGAUGCAGGACAGAGGGCCUGACAAGGACAGCUGUCUAGUCCUUCGGAUGAUACACUGGAAUGCACGUAAAAGAUCCCUUGGCAGUUGGAAUUCGAUAUAAGAGUAGGCGAUAUAGUGCCGCUGCCGCAAAAUUUCCCUCAUAGCACACUGUAUGAGUAUGGCGUAUGCCCGUCUUUAUAUUAGCCCUGUUCGGAGCAGAACAGUAGGACGUCAAACCCCAAUUUCAUUUAAUUUCUCUUUCUCUCAUCGCCAAUUUUUAAAAUAAAAUUGCACCAUGUUAGUCACUAAAUAACUCUUAGUUUGUGUUGAGUGGACGUUACACCCCCCCCCCCCCCCACACACACACACCCACACCCCCAACAGAACAAUAUAUUCAGUCCAGUCGAUAAAAUCAGUCAAUUAGUUCAGUCUGUAACAUCAGUCAAAUAGUUCAGUCGAAUAAACCAGUCGAAUAAACCAGUUGCUCAAUAUUAAGCAGCGAUGGCAGUGGACUAAGAUAAUAAUUGUUUGACGUUCUAACUCAUGACGUCAACUGGCAGACAGUCGCCAUUCAUGGAGAUUACCACUGUCAAGAUCGGCCACAUUGUUUCUGUUGCGUCUUUUUUGAAUUCCUGAUUGUUUACAGAUUCGAGUGAAGUCUGUGUCACCACAGGCCCGGGACUGUACAGCGCAGUGGACGCUUACGGCUGGUCCCCGGAUCCAUUCACUUGAUUUGAUAUUUGUUUAUUUGGUGCAAUGUCUAUUUUCUGGCUUGUCCGCAGGUUUAUCUUGUAAAUUUUUGUUUUGCGUGUAGUGCGGUCACUUACUAAUAGAGUAGCAAAUCAAGCUCGUAGCCAUAGCUGAAGGAGUCAGGGGCCGGGGGGCUUCCUAUCUAGUUUCAAUUCCGAUUUUGCGGGCAAAAGUAGUUUGAUAAUGAAGGUAUUUAGGCGAUGCUCAAGUAGAGGGUAACUUUUUCGGCUCCCACAUCUAAAUGAAUAGAAUCGUUACUAAUGCCUGUAGUCUUGGCAGAUGGGGGGGAGGGAGUAUUGGACGAGUGGCAAUCAUGCUCGCAGUCAUAUAGCUGAAAGGUAUGGGGUAGGGGCCGGGGGAUUCCCAACUAGUAAUAGUAUCAAGUCUCAUUUUACGGGCAAAAGUAGUUUGAUAAUGAAGGUAUUUAGGCGAUGCUUAACCCAGUCUCUAUAUAUAACCAUAGAAAGGGGGUGCGGGUGGGGUGGGACGUGUGGGGAUGAGGUAUUUCACAUUUUCAUAUGUGGCCUCGUCCAGUCGAUAAAAUCAGUCAAUUAGUUCAGUCUAUAAGUAUAACAUCAGUCAAAUAGUUCAGUCGAAUAAACCACAGAAGAGCAUGCCUACUGUUUUACUUCCAGAUAUACGAACCCAGUCAUUACUCGGCAUUAGACCAUUUUGACAAUUUGUCUAAGGCUUCUUGCAUUCUCGUUCUAACCGUACCGUAGUUAUUCGCUGCAUGCCAGAUUGAACUAUGUCAAUAAGUUUCUUAAUGUACCGUAGUUAUUAGACUGAAGGUGUUAAUUGUGACGUCUAAUUGUUUUAUAGUGUUCCUAAUUGACCUUUCCGUCGACUCCGCCCACAAUAAGGCUUUGACCAAUCAGCUCCGUUUACAGUUUCCCGUGAAAUGACGUUGCGUUACCACGCUUCAUCACCUUAGACAAACUUCGUGAAUUUUGACAUUUCAUCGUGUGUUGAAACGUCAGUUAGGAGAUAAACAUUGCUCACAUGGACAUCGUAACAUCUAUCCAGACAAUAUGAAGGGUGUUUUAGUGUGCAUUCUCUUCCCAAAACAGUUAAAAAAACAAAAAAUAUAGGAUGUGUCUUCUAGGCCUAAUGGAUAAAUAAGACUGUUGUCGAAGUCACUCCCAGUUAAAUGUAAACAAACGUCAAUUCUAACCGGUCAAGUGUGUUCCAAGCACUUUCUGAAGCGGCCUGGACCAAUAGAAAAUAAUCCUGAACCAUAUUCAGCUGAUCAUAAUGGAUAUAUAAUAUUAAACCAAAACAAACAAGAGCUGCAGCAAUAAAAAGACAGACAAAUUGUUGACAGCUACAUUUCUAAAGAAGGAGAAGAAAAAUAAAAUACCAAGAAUUAACUAAAAAUGUGAAAUGAAAUGAUAUGAAAUGGGGUUUAAAGUCCAACUGUUUUGCUCCUAAACUGGGCAAAUGAAGACGGGCAUACGCCAUACAGUGUGCUAUGAGGGCAAUUUUGCCCGGGCAGCGGCGCUACGGCCUACUCUUAUAUCGAAUUCCAACUGCGAAGGGAUCUUUUACCUGCAUGCCAAUGUGUACACGGGACCUCGGUUUUUCGUCCCAUCCGAACGACUAGACAGCUGUCUUUGUCAGGCCCUCCGUCCUGCAUCACUGACAAGGGGAAACCACACCGGAAAAUCUGGAUGAACUUUCUUGGCCAAUGCAGGGAUCUAACACCCGACCUCCAGGCUAGCGAGCCAGCGUCUUACCCACAGGAUUACUGGUAUUUUGCUUAAUAUACUAUUCAAAAAAAGUAGGGGAUAUUUGAUUUUUAAGUGUUAUUAAAGUCACCUAAUGAAACUGACGAAGAAACAAAUGACAAAAUGAAAUGAAGUUCACAUUCAUCGAUUUAUUCCAAAUGAUCGUUAGACUAAGUAAGGCACAGACUGACCAUUAUAAGGGUAAAAUGAUACCCGGGGUCAAACAGCAAAGUUACCACAGCAUCACAACCAAGUCAGUAACGGGUAAAUCCUCCUCUGUUUGCCAAACAAGCAUUGAUCCGACGUGGCAUACUCCUAAUGAGACGUCUAAGGUCAUUUUGGUCCAGAUUGUCCCAUUCCUGUUGCAACGCAGCAGCAAGUUCUUGGACAUUGGCAGGACGUUGUUGACGUUGACGUAACCUCUGUCCAAGCAUGUCCCAGACAUGCUCGAUGGGGGAGAGGUCGGGACUCAGUGCUGGCCAAGGUAAUGUGGUGAUGUUCUGUUGUUGGAGGUAACCUGUAACGAUCCUGGCCCUGUGACAUCUUGCGUUGUCAUCCUGGAAGAUGAAACGGCGGCCAUGACGUCAUGCGAACGGCACAACAUGGACUGCCAAGAUGUUGUCCCGGUAGUACUGGCCUGUAACACGCCCUGCAACAACAUGUAAAGCCGUUCUUCCAGCAACAGUGAUGCCUCCCCACACCAUAACGGAACCACCCCCAAAUCGAUCAUGUCUGAUGACGUUAACGUCUUGGAAGCGCUCGUUUCGACGACGCCACACCCUCCUACGUCUGUCCAAAAAAUCAACAGUGAACCUUGACUCAUUUGAAAACAUCACAUUGCUCCAGCGUCGAUUAUCCCAGUGUUGACGAUCCCUACACCAACGACGUCUUGCCUGAAUGUGAUGAUCUCUCAAACAAGGGAUCACGCGAGGACGUCGGGCGCGAAGGUGACCCCUAUGCAGUCGAUUCCGAAUCGUCCGGCCACUCACUCUCACACCAGUGUCUGUUUGAAGACGAGCGCUGAUCUGAUUUGCUGUGAUGACACGAUUUCUCAAGGCCAAGGUACGGAUAAAUCGAUCCUGGGCUUGAGUUGUCGCCCUUGGUCGACCUGAGCGUGGUCUGUCCUGUACAGAUUGUGUAUCACGGUAUCUGGACCAUAGCCUGCUUAUGACAGACUGAGAAACAUUCAUCGUCCGCGCCACAACCGCCUGUGUUGUGCCGAUCUGUAGCAUGCCAAGGGCACGUAACCUUUCAUUUUGGGUAAGCCGACGCAUAUCAAAAUUUGUUUUUUGGUCACUAAAACAAUUAAACUGAUGUUUCCACCCUGGAAUUCAAUGCCACAAUGACUGUAACAUUCAAAGUCAGAGUCGUGCAAAUCUUGGGUUGGACCCCCAUGAUGAUCCCAAGCAUCACCUGCAUUCCAUGCGGUAGCUAUUGGUGCGUUUGGGCGUCACAUGUAACUGGAAAUGUUUCUUCUUUUAGGUUCUAUAGUGACUUUUUUCGUAGUCAUUUGCAUAUUUUAGUAUUAUGCCCCCAAAAUCAAAUAUCCCCUACUUUUUUUGAAUAGUAUAUAAAUAAUCUACGAUAACCACAUAUACACUAAUUUUUCAAACUCUUACAAAGAAAUUUAACACGUGAUUUCACAAUUUCACUCUCUGCAAAGUCUGUUGCCUUUUGAUUCAGAACAAACAUUGUAAAACUGUUUGCAUAAUUAAAUCUAGUCAUUUAGAUGUAGCCUAAACACUAUACAUGUAUUUUUAAAUAAAUAAUAUUACUUACUGGUAUCUACAAUCUUGAAGUGUAUUCUUUCACAACAUAUCGAAAUGACAUUGUGUUGAUAAUAUAGAUGAGGAUUACUGCAACAGUAUCAAUCUUGUCACUUCUUACUCUUAGUCUUGGCUUUUCUUCAUUGUUGUGUUAGUGAUAUACAUGGGGGAAAAAACUGAACCCUGUCAUUUGCCAGUGUUGGGAGUGCAAUCACAAGCAUUAAAUCAUCAUGAUAAAAAGAAAAUCUUGGCAUGUUUUCUCUAUUUUACUAGUUGAAAGGAACAUACUAUGAUGUGGCCUGGCCUACUAUAGACAUACAACUGCACCAGUUAUGAAACGUGAAUAUAUUCGCUGCCUAAAGUUUUGGUAUUUCACUAUUAUAUAGUAAUAGAUUAGUACUAUAUUAACGACAGUAACGUAACUUUGUGUUUAGGAUAGCCUACUAGGCCUUAUAGGCCUUGCAAUCUACAGAAGUACCUAUAGCCAACUGUGGUUUUCUCUAAAUUUAUAUCAAAUCCAGACCAGACAAUGCUUAACAACUAUGAUGAUCAUUAUUAAUUUAAAAGUUGCAGGACCACAGAAUGUCAUACGUUAUAGUUAUAUACGUAUGAUGGUACUUGUAAUUGUAUGUACCCCCCACCCUCCCUCAUUACGCUUCACUAUCUUUUAUUAAUUCAACCAUGCUUACAUUUAUAGACAUAAGUGAUAAUAAACAAAUAGAUUUUGCUUACCCCUUCUGGCAGCAACAAUGGUAGUCUGUUACUUCCUUUAUUUCUCGUUCUAUCUCUUGCCAGUUCGGACUUCAUUGACACAUUGAUGCCUGAUCUGUCAAUUGCCUAAAACAGGUUCACCUGUACCUGGAGCACUGCUUCUUUACUUCAAACUAACAAUACACUUCAAAAUUAGCGGGAAGGCCCAAAAGAUUGACACAAGAUUGAACGUCGUUCAGCCAUCGCCAUGCUUAUGUCUAAGGCACGUCAUAUAUGUUGUCUAAGGUGACGUCAUUACAAAAAGUGGGAGGAGCUACAGGUAAAGGUAUUCAGAAACAAUGCAAAACUGCGGAAAUGCACUGCUGUUUUUAUUAGAGGUAACCAGUGUAUGUUAAUAACAGGCCAAUUGCCUACACAUGAACAUAAACAGUUCAUAUGGGCGACUUAUCUGACGGCCCCAUUUCACUCGCAAAGAGUUAACCGUCAAAAGUGAAAAUGGACGUUUUUGAUUUUUGUCUUAAUAAUGAGUAAUUGCUCCGCAAUCCUCAGACAUUCAGCAAUUCCUCGUGGCAUGCUCCUAAUCAACCGUCCAAUCACGAUUUGGGGCAAUCUGAUCCACUCCUCUUGCAAUGCCACGGCCAAGUAAACGUAACAAAUUAAACGUAACACACUAAAGCAAAGAUACGCUAAACAGUAAAUCUUAUGCAAGAACUGAUAGGAAAGCAAACAUGGAUAGAUAAACCAGCACGCGGCAGUUUUCAUCAACCCUUCCUUGAAGUGUCAAAUUUGACAAUGAACCCCUCCCACAUGGUUCUUUUGGGUCGAUAAGUUCUUCAUCUGUGAACAUACUCUCAAAGCAUGUCAAAUGUCCAUGACUAUUUAUCAUAUCGCAACAUGCAUAGGUAUUUGCAUUUCAAUAUCCCCUACUUUUUUUUGAAGAGUAUAUAUAAUUUAUAUCUUCGUUAUAACUGAUAAAAUGUAAAUAGAUAAUCUUUAUAUUUUAAUACAUAAUAUAGUACUUAUAUUAUAACUUGAUUUUUGAUCUAUUAGUGAUUAGUAGAAUAUAUCCAUCAUUUAAUAAUUGAAUAUGACAUGUUCUGUUCACCCAUUGUAAAUAAUCAUUUUGUAUCUUUUAAGUGUUUUUGUGUAUAGUGUAUAUAUUGUCCCGAAAUAAACUGUUGUGUUAUCAA
RNA transcript from Patella vulgata (common limpet), 6663 nucleotides. RefSeq lists it as uncharacterized. The record is from RefSeq and is a predicted model, not a curated record. NCBI's taxonomy places the organism in Eukaryota, Metazoa, Mollusca, Gastropoda, Patellidae. The transcript is spliced from 3 exons.